Molecule: long non-coding RNA, 297 nt
Organism: Saccostrea cuccullata (small rock oyster)
Lineage: Eukaryota; Metazoa; Mollusca; Bivalvia; Ostreida; Ostreidae
Exons: 3
Source: RefSeq, a predicted model, not a curated record
AUAACAGGAUCUUGUUCGAAGGCAGUGUGCAAAAUAAAUGAAAAAUGCAUCCCAAAAUCCCUUGGAAAUUAUGAAUGUAUACUAUCAGACUGUGGAAUGCCUCCGGUUGUAAAAGGCGCUGACUCGAAUAGUUUGGAAAGAUGGGACGCAAUAGGAAUCUACCGACGGAUACAUCUAUAGUGUCACAAGUAUAUUUUCAAGAAAAAAGGUUCAGGAAUGCUCGGAUGUUCUUCAAAUGUUGAAUGGACAAUAAAUCUGAGUUGUGAAUUUCAAGAAGUAUGGAUACCCUUUAAAGGC